GACGAACGCUGGCGGCGUGCCUAAUACAUGCAAGUAGAACGCACAGUUUAUACCGUAGCUUGCUACACCAUAAACUGUGAGUUGCGAACGGGUGAGUAACGCGUAGGUAACCUGCCUGGUAGCGGGGGAUAACUAUUGGAAACGAUAGCUAAUACCGCAUAAUAUUUAUUAUUGCAUGAUAAUUGAUUGAAAGAUGCUAUUGCAUCACUACCAGAUGGACCUGCGUUGUAUUAGCUAGUAGGUGAGGUAACGGCUCACCUAGGCGACGAUACAUAGCCGAACUGAGAGGGUGAUCGGCCACACUGGGACUGAGACACGGCCCAGACGCCUACGGGAGGCAGCAGUAGGGAAUCUUCGGCAAGGGACGAAAGUCUGACCGAGCAACGCCGCGGGAGUGAAGAAGGGUUUCGGAUCGUAAAGCUCUGUUGUAAGAGAAGAACGGGUGUGAGAGUGGAAAGUUCACACUGUGACGGUAGCUUACCAGAAAGGGACGGCUAACUACGUG
This 505-nucleotide ribosomal RNA is filed under the name uncultured bacterium. Its description in RNAcentral is "partial 16S ribosomal RNA". It matches the Rfam family "Bacterial small subunit ribosomal RNA", at positions 28 to 507 of the family's 1533-position model. The record is from RNAcentral.